GCCCGAUGAACCUGAAUAUCCAUUAUGGAAAAUUCAUCAUUAAAAUUGUAAUAUUUAAACAAUAUUAUGAGAAUAGUGUGCAUUUUUUCCAUAUAAGGACAUUGUAAUCUAUUAGCAUACACAAAUUUAUCAUAAAAUAUAGCUUAUAGUUUAUUCAAAUUAAAAUGCUUGCGUUUUAACACAGAUUAAAUGUCAUUAAUUUGAUAAAGUGUUGAUAGAUUUAUAUGAAUACAGUGCGUUAAUUUUUCGGAAUUAUAUAAUGGCAUAAUUAUCAAUGAUUUUUGUGUUUAUUAUAAGCACUUGUAUGAUUAACAAUGCGAAAGAUUCAGGAUACUUCGGG
RNAcentral lists this ribosomal RNA (340 nucleotides) under Drosophila prolongata. RNAcentral describes it as "eukaryotic LSU rRNA". The record is from RNAcentral. Lineage: Eukaryota; Metazoa; Arthropoda; Insecta; Diptera; Drosophilidae.